RNAcentral lists this ribosomal RNA (254 nucleotides) under uncultured bacterium. Its description in RNAcentral is "partial 16S ribosomal RNA". It matches the Rfam family "Bacterial small subunit ribosomal RNA", at positions 524 to 776 of the family's 1533-position model. The record is from RNAcentral.
UACAGGGGGGGCAAGCGUUGUUCGGAAUUACUGGGCGUAAAGGGCUCGUAGGCGGCCAACUAAGUCCGACGUGAAAUCCCAAAGCUUAACUUUGGAACUGCGUCGGAUACUGGAUGGCUUGAAUUCGGGAGAGGGAUGCAGAAUUCCAGGUGUAGCGGUGAAAUGCGUAGAUAUCUGGAGGAAUACCGGUGGCGAAGGCGGCAUCCUGGACCGACGAUUGACGCUGAUGAGCGAAAGCGUGGGGAGCGAACAGG